UGAGUCGGCCGGGUGGUCGCGGCGUGGGCGUUCCGCACCGCGUCGAGGAAGGUCGGGGCUCCGCAGGGCAGGGUGCUGGCUAGCGGCCAGUCGGGGUGACCCGCAGGAAAGUGCCACAGAGAACAGACCGCCGAUGGCCUUCGGGCACAGGUAAGGGUGAAACGGUGCGGUAAGAGCGCACCAGCACCCGGGGUGACCCGGGUGGCUCGGCAAACCCCACCCGGAGCAAGGCCGAAACGGGGAGG
Molecule: RNase P RNA, 245 nt
Filed under: Actinomycetota bacterium
Lineage: Bacteria; Bacillati; Actinomycetota
Description: partial RNase P RNA component class A
Rfam family: Bacterial RNase P class A
About the family: Ribonuclease P (RNase P) is a ubiquitous endoribonuclease, found in archaea, bacteria and eukarya as well as chloroplasts and mitochondria. Its best characterised activity is the generation of mature 5'-ends of tRNAs by cleaving the 5'-leader elements of precursor-tRNAs.
Source: RNAcentral